RNAcentral lists this ribosomal RNA (254 nucleotides) under uncultured bacterium. RNAcentral's name for it is "partial 16S ribosomal RNA". It matches the Rfam family "Bacterial small subunit ribosomal RNA", at positions 524 to 776 of the family's 1533-position model. The record is from RNAcentral.
UACGGAGGGGGCAAGCGUUGUUCGGAAUUACUGGGCGUAAAGGGCGCGCAGGCGGCUGCUCAAGUCAGGCGUGAAAGGCCUGGGCUCAACCCGGGAAUUGCGCUUGAGACUGGGCUGGCUUGAGUGCGGGAGAGGAUGGUGGAAUUCCUGGUGUAGCGGUGAAAUGCGCAGAUAUCAGGAAGAACACCCGUGGCGAAAGCGGCUCUCUGGAACGGUACUGACGCUGAGACGCGAAAGCGUGGGGAGCGAACAGG